Phyllostomus discolor (pale spear-nosed bat) is the source of this 2836-nucleotide long non-coding RNA. RefSeq lists it as uncharacterized. The transcript is spliced from 2 exons. Lineage: Eukaryota; Metazoa; Chordata; Mammalia; Chiroptera; Phyllostomidae. The record is from RefSeq and is a predicted model, not a curated record.
GUUCAGUGCGCCCUGCAUACUGGGGACUGAGAACUUGGUUACUUCUCAGUGGUUUGGUUAGCCGGAUGGGUUUUUACGCUGUUCUAUUGGCCUUCCUAACUCCAAAGAGGUGGGGUUAUGUGGUUAGAGAAAAUCCACAUCUAGGACCCCCAAAAAUUCCCUCUAAUUUAUAUCAUUUAAUAAGGGACAGUAUAGGCAUUCAUGGUUCUGUAGCAGUGGACAUUUCUUAAGUGAUUUUUUUAGUGCUUUCUCGGGGUCUUUUACUAUAUCGUUUUCCAAAUUAGUUUUAUUAGUUUUGUGAUUAAAUAAAUUCAGUAGUGUAAAACGCUUUCUUUUGGGAAAGCUCCAAGCGAAUGAAGAUUUAUUGAGCAUCUACUAGACCUCCAGACACUGAAAUAAGUGUUUUAACCAACACUGCAUUACUUGAUCCUCACAACUGUAUGAUCCUGCACAUAGUGUGAUCAGCAUCCUACAGGUGCAAAUACAAAACUCAGAAGGGAGUAGGGGGUGCUGAGUGCUCUCCUUGUAGAGCAGAGUAAGCUGAGGUGACAUGCUUGGAUUAGAUCACAGAAAUUCACUGAAAGAUAAUGAAUUAUUGAUCAUAGCUGUAAUCAAACUCCCUACCACCAGAAACCAAGAAUUUCCAGGGGCCUGAUGGAAAUUCCUGCUUGUUUCAUGUCUUGUGAGGGGUCAUCUCCAUUGCCAGUUGUCAUCAGAACAUCGUUUUCUCUAGGGAUCAGUACACCAAAGUGACGAGGAGCUAGUGUGGGUAAGAUCCUCAGUUACUCACCUGAAACAAGUGGCAGGCAGCAGAUCACAGCUAGUCAGGGGCCAGGACAGCGGGAGGAGUUGUGUCUCUGACUGGGCCCUGCCUCAUCUGACAGGUUCUGCUGGCGCUUCUGAAGGGGCCCAAUAAAACCUCCGGUUCUGAACAAAUUGGAAAAUUUUUAAAUAUUAGAUGGGAGCCAAAUAGCACCUUUACUGCUAAAAGAAAAAAAAAAAGCUAAGUUAACAGUUGAAGCUUAGUGUGAGAGCCAGAUAGACCUGCUACCUGACCCCUAGAUCCACGCAGAUCUACCCGUUGUGGCAGCACUGGCCCCAGGCAGGCCUCCCCAUGUGUGGGAUAGCUCCCGUGAGGACAAAGAACGGACGUGAGCUGAGCAUAACCAGCUUAGUCAUCAUUUACCAAUCAGACAAAAACAGGCAAAGUGGGGCCAGCAGUUACAAUAUUGGAGCUCCCGCUACAUGGAAGGAAACCUCGACAGUAGUGAAUAAGUGAGGUGGAGGAAAAUGACUGGAAGUGUGGGCAGAGGUUCACCGGAGCCUCUCCCUGCCAGGCAUUAUGUCACCCCAUUUUCACUUUCUAGACCCAAAGGUGCGUUUGAAUAUGUAAUUUCAAGUUAGGUCCAUAUUAAUGCAGGUGUUAUAACUCUGGACAACAGUGCAUGAAGCUGUAGAUUACUGAAAUCUGGGUAAAGGUGCUACUAAUUACACAAAACAUCUCCAAAACCAUCUCCCCUGGUCUUGCUGGGGCCACCUUUUUCUUAAGAUUCCCCUUCAGGCUUCAGUUGAGUAUCCAUCAUUGCCUCCUGUCCAGGGCAUUCUCUCUUCUGGUUUCUGAGCUGCUGUCACUCAUCCUGCUGGCCUCCUGACAACCAUGGUGAUGCCCACCACAUGGUGGGCAGUGGGUCAUUGUGGAAAAGCAAACUCAGUUUACACCCUUGGCUAAAACAGAGAAAGGGGAGAGAUGGAGAAUAGCAAUAGGCUGUCAAAACUUAGUAAAUGAGCUCAGGUCUGGGUCUAGAGUAGGUGCUUCAUAAAUGCUUUCUUUCGAAAUGAACUCCACAACAAAACAGCCUGGGCUAUGGGAGAGGAAAGGACAGAGACUGGUUUCAGCUGUGGAGAUCUGGAAAAAUAUCAUGAGAUGUGCAGGGUCUUGAAAGAAGAACGAGAAUGUUGUAAGCCACAAAAUAGGUCUGAGAAGAAGUCAGCACCGUCAGACUAUUGAGAUCCUGCUUUGAGGUGUAUCCUCUUUGGCUCAAAUAGACUUUUUUUAAGUGAGCAUGAAGCCAUGCAGAAUUAGCAUAAAGCUCACAGAACUGAAGUUAUUUGCCUAAGGUCACCCAGGAGGUAAAGUGCCAAGCAUUAACUCAGUCAGAGCAAGUGCUGCCUCCCUGGCUUCGGCUCUUCUCUUAAAUGCCAGUGCAGGCCAACUUAACGCGCCACAAAAUAAGCCUGGUGAGAAGUGAACGCCAUCACUCUGUUGAAAUCUUGCUCCCAGGUAGGUGUGUCCUCUUUUUGGCUCAAAUAAAACUUACCCACAGAGCUUCACACAAGGUCUGGCACACAGCAGCACUCACUCAGCACACAUCACUGAAUGGGCUUAAUUCCUAAGUGAGAAGGCAGUCUCUUACAUUCUUUCUUCAGGAGUUAAACAGCAGACAGUGAAUUUAUUUUCUCCUGCCCCACUGGAACCCUCAGGGAAUAAUGUUUGGAUCAAUUUUUGCCAAAAAUAAAACUUUGCUUCCUCUUACCCUUUUCCCUAAAGAAAUUGGAAGUAACUUAGAGUGACCAUUUACUAGGAAUGGGACCAGGAAUGCCAGCAUAACAUACCACAACACUCCUGGUCUCCUGGAAGGUCAGGUCCACCCUGUAGAAACUGUUUUGAGAGUAUUUGUAGAAACUGUUUUUGAGAGUUUGCAUGACCUGUAUGAAAACCAGAUCUGCUCCUGGGACCUGGUCUUUCUAGACCAGAAGACAAUAUUCCUCAUAGACAUAGAGACAAUUCUAGGCUAAGAAGGAGGAUGUCUCAUAUCUUUUGAGCACAUAAUACAGA